This 253-nucleotide ribosomal RNA is filed under the name uncultured bacterium. Its description in RNAcentral is "partial 16S ribosomal RNA". It matches the Rfam family "Bacterial small subunit ribosomal RNA", at positions 524 to 776 of the family's 1533-position model. The record is from RNAcentral.
UACGUAGGGUGCGAGCGUUGUCCUGAAUUACUGGGCGUAAAGAGCUCGUAGGUGGUUUGUCGCGUUGUCCGUGAAAACUCACAGCUCAACUGUGGGCGUGCGGGCGAUACGGGCAGACUGGAGUACUGCAGGGGAGACUGGAAUUCCUGGUGUAGCGGUGGAAUGCGCAGAUAUCAGGAGGAACACCGGUGGCGAAGGCGGGUCUCUGGGCAGUAACUGACGCUGAGGAGCGAAAGCGUGGGGAGCGAACAGG